UUACACUGCACGAACGUGCGAUAAGGGGACUCCGAGUGCGACGGCAUACAGUCCUCGCUAUUGUGUACCGUAGGGUGGUACACGACCAAGAGCUGGGCAAGACCGGUGCCAGCCGCCGCGGUAAUACCGGCAGCUCGAGUGAUGGCCGAUUUUAUUGGGCCUAAAGCGUCCGUAGCUGGCCCUGCAAGUCCGUCGGGAAAUCCACUCGCCUAACGAGUGGGCGUCCGGCGGAAACUACAGGGCUUGGGACCGGAAGACUUGAGGGGUACGUCUGGGGUAGGAGUGAAAUCCUGUAAUCCUGGACGGACCGCCGAUAGCGAAAGCACCUCAAGACGACGGAUCCGACAGUGAGGGACGAAAGCUAGGGUCUCGAACCGGAUUAGAUACCCGGGUAGUCCUAGCCGUAAACACUGCCUGCUAGGUGUGGCACCCACUACGAGUGGGUGCUGUGCCGUAGG
RNAcentral lists this ribosomal RNA (458 nucleotides) under uncultured haloarchaeon. Its description in RNAcentral is "bacterial SSU rRNA". It matches the Rfam family "Archaeal small subunit ribosomal RNA", at positions 350 to 807 of the family's 1478-position model. The record is from RNAcentral. Lineage: Archaea; Methanobacteriati; Methanobacteriota; Halobacteria; Halobacteriales; Halobacteriaceae.